AUGUUUUCGUUUGCCUUUUUCUUGUUUGCUUCUUUGCUUGCUUGUUAUCUUGUUUGCGUAGUCACGGUGUCUCAAGAAAAUACAAAAUUGUGUGAUUUUGCCAAUACUAAUGAUAUGCUUAUUAGUACUCCGAUUGCUCCUCCAACCGCUAGUGCGGAGACUUGUGAUAUUAAUGCCGCUUUGCUAAAUCUUGUUAUGAAAGAACAAUUUUCUUGUAGUCCUAAUGAAAAUGUUACAUUCCAUCUUAACACUUUCAAAAACAUGUGUGACAUGCAAAAGGAAAAAGAUGUGGAUAAUGAUACUAUGAAAUUAAAAUUAUUUCCAUCUCAUUGCGGGAUCGUGCAAAAUUUUGGUUUUCAUCUUUGCCACGUAAUAGUUUUGAUUCUUGGGAUAGGUGCAAAGAUGCUUUUAUCACUAAGUAUUUUCCUCCCGUGA
RNAcentral lists this ribosomal RNA (435 nucleotides) under Triticum aestivum (bread wheat). RNAcentral describes it as "partial small subunit ribosomal RNA". The record is from RNAcentral. Lineage: Eukaryota; Viridiplantae; Streptophyta; Magnoliopsida; Poales; Poaceae.